Molecule: long non-coding RNA, 1636 nt
Organism: Heterocephalus glaber (naked mole-rat)
Lineage: Eukaryota; Metazoa; Chordata; Mammalia; Rodentia; Bathyergidae
Source: Ensembl
CUUAUCUAAAUCUUUUUGAACAAUUAUAUAAUAAGAAUUAUUUAAUACCUAUCUUUGUAAGCACAUUUAUAAACUUUUGACAUGAGAUUUGUAAGUUCCUAACCAGCAUUAAUAUUAUAUUAAGAAAUUUGUAAUAAAAGUGUCUAACAUUUCUUUUCAUAAAAUAUAUAACAGUUUAGAAAAAUAGUGUAUUUUAAGGCAUAUGUGGAGCAAACUGACAUAUUCUUUCAUCUACAAAAGUUGCAAGAAGUUCAUGAGAAACAAAAAGAUUGAGUUGUCAGUAUUCAUAGUGCUUCUCCCUGUUCAUUUAUUACUUUGUGCACCAGCAUAUUCUGGUAAAUGCUUAAUAACUGGUUCUCCCAAAAGAAAUGCCCCAAGUGUGGAAUCUAUUAACUUCUUUAGUGCAAAUACCCCCAUAAUGGUCAAUUCCAGGGCCGCGUAACACUGAGUAGCAGAGGCAUGCACUAAUCAGAUCUCAUUAGGUCCUAAGGACUGACUGGAGCAUUUGCUGCCUGUAAACAGGAGACAAAGGAUUGUUAGGGGCAUCAUAACUGUUUGAGAGUGUUGACAUCUUACAAAGAUGAGGGGAAAGUCAGAGGUUGGGGCUGGUGAGGCUUCUCAGUGAUUUUUCAUGGAGAUUUUGCUGGUUUCUGAGUGAUGAUGUGGGCUUUAAAAAUAUAUGGACCAUUUGAUUUUCAGAUACCUAGGCAAUCAAGGUGACAUUUGUGUUAUCCUGCUUUUAGUGUGUCAGGUAGGAAAAAAAUUGUCAGUUGGGAAAUAAUGCUGUUUUUUAUUCCUUAGCAUUUAGAGUUUAAAUAUAAUGACUUUAGUAAUAAUCCCACUAAUAACUAUAUGUGUCUUGGUAAGAUAUCCUAUUUUUUCCACAGUAUUGACCAUUUAAUCAUUGAAGGUGUUAUGUGAAGAGAAUAUGAUGACUCUGAGAAUGUUGCUGGUACUGAAGUUUUGAUGGGAUCCAAAGAGUGUUAACAGUUCCCUAAUGAUGAAAGUGGACCAAGGUAUAGACAUGCAAUAAGAUGUGCACCAAACACUGGGAUUUUUAGAUUUCUGUCAAGACCUUAUAGUAACCCUUUCAACUGUUGGUCAGCACACCAUGUAGAUACGGUGGUAAGUCUCAUGAUGACCAACAGUGGCAGUUUGUUGUAUCCAUGGCCAUGAUGAUCAAGAGGGAUAUUGUGAAAGAUGAUGCGUCCUAAACACACAUCUCAAAGUGUUGUCUAAGAUUCCAACAGUUAUUAAAUUAUAGUGAUUGAACUUAAGAAUGGUAAUUUAUGAAAUGUUAUGACUAACCUGUUCCUCUGAAGACACUGUGGUUAUCCUACCCAUGGGAGUGAGUCAAGUCCAUAGAGGGUUAUGAGAUGCCCUUCAAGAGAACACAGUGAUCCAGAAAAGAUGGUUGUUGCAGUCACCCUAGUAACAAGAUGUAAUAUGCUUGUAUUGCUACUGGUGGAGAAGAGAUUCAUGUAAUUUUCACUGAGUCCAUCUCUGAAAUAUUGUCCUUGGAAGGUUUGCAUGUAUCACUGAAGACAGACAACACUCUCUUACAAGGCUUUAUCCAUGGAAGCCUCCAAGUAUCUAGAUAACAUAAGUGGAUGCUGAAACGAUGAAGUGACAUAGG